Molecule: unclassified non-coding RNA, 333 nt
Filed under: soil metagenome
Description: partial contains 5.8S ribosomal RNA, internal transcribed spacer 2, and large subunit ribosomal RNA
Rfam family: 5.8S ribosomal RNA (bases 1-120)
Source: RNAcentral
GAUGAAGAACGUAGCGAAAUGCGAUAAGUAAUGUGAAUUGCAGAAUUCAGUGAAUCAUCGAAUCUUUGAACGCACAUUGCGCCCGCCAGUAUUCUGGCGGGCAUGCCUGUUCGAGCGUCAUUUCAACCAUCAAGCCCUGUGCUUGUGUUGGGGGCCUGCGGCUGCCGCAGCCCCCUAAAAGCAGUGGCGGGCUCGCUGUCAUUCCGAGCGCAGUAACUUAUCUCGCUUUGGUCGUGGCGGUGGGCACCUGCCGUAAAACACUCUUUUUCACAAGGUUGACCUCGGAUCAGGUAGGAAUACUCGCUGAACUUAAGCAUAUCAAUAAGCGGAGGA